GGCAGGGGCGACGGUUGCUUCUCCCUAGGGCUACCUACUUGGCUUGUACAAAUUUUCUUGAGAUAAUAUGUUGGGAAUGGUCAACAUUAUGCCCAAAUUUUCUUGGGCUAAUAUGUUAGGAAUGGUCAAUAAAAUUUCGAGACGGUGCAUAAUAAAUCAAUUGAACCUCGACUUUGCGCAAUCUUUAUGACCGUCAAGUUUUUCUGUGAAACCAUU
This 216-nucleotide long non-coding RNA is filed under the name Musa acuminata (dwarf banana). RNAcentral describes it as "long non-coding RNA (MACU_LNC009296)". The record is from RNAcentral. Lineage: Eukaryota; Viridiplantae; Streptophyta; Magnoliopsida; Zingiberales; Musaceae.